AGCACGUUAUGGUGGGCGACUCUAAGGAGACUGCCGGUGACAACCGACGGAAGGUGGGGAUGACGUCAAGUCAUCAUGGCCCUUACGGCCUGGGCUACACACGUGCUACAAUGGUCGGUACAAAGGGUUGCCAAGCCGCGAGGUGGAGCUAAUCCCAUAAAACCGAUCGUAGUCCGGAUCGCAGUCUGCAACUCGACUGCGUGAAGUCGGAAUCGCUAGUAAUCGUGAAUCAGAAUGUCACGGUGAAUACGUUCCCGGGCCUU
This 263-nucleotide ribosomal RNA is filed under the name uncultured Pseudomonas sp. RNAcentral describes it as "partial 16S ribosomal RNA". It matches the Rfam family "Bacterial small subunit ribosomal RNA", at positions 1120 to 1382 of the family's 1533-position model. Lineage: Bacteria; Pseudomonadati; Pseudomonadota; Gammaproteobacteria; Pseudomonadales; Pseudomonadaceae. The record is from RNAcentral.